RNAcentral lists this ribosomal RNA (253 nucleotides) under uncultured bacterium. RNAcentral's name for it is "partial 16S ribosomal RNA". It matches the Rfam family "Bacterial small subunit ribosomal RNA", at positions 524 to 776 of the family's 1533-position model. The record is from RNAcentral.
UACGGAGGGUGCUAGCGUUGUUCGGAAUUACUGGGCGUAAAGGGCGCGUAGGCGGCCGUUUGCGUCGGAUGUGAAAGCCCGGGGCUCAACCUCGGAACGACAUUCGAUACGGGACGGCUGGAGACCGGGAGAGGAGAGUGGAAUAGCCAGUGUAGAGGUGAAAUUCGUAGAUAUUGGCAAGAACACCAGUGGCGAAGGCGGCUCACUGGCCCGAUACUGACGCUGAGGCACGAAAGCGUGGGGAGCAAACAGG